UACGUAGGGACCAAGCGUUGUCCGGAAUCAUUGGGCGUAAAGAGCGUGUAGGCGGCUUGUUAAGUCUUGCGUGAAAUCUCGGGGCUCAACCCCGAGCGGUCGUGAGAAACUGGCAGGCUAGAGUGCGGGAGAGGAGAGUGGAAUUCCUAGUGUAGCGGUGAAAUGCGCAGAUAUCAGGAAGAACACCCGUGGCGAAGGCGGCUCUCUGGAACGCAACUGACGCUGAGACGCGAAAGCGUGGGGAGCAAACAGG
RNAcentral lists this ribosomal RNA (253 nucleotides) under uncultured bacterium. RNAcentral describes it as "partial 16S ribosomal RNA". It matches the Rfam family "Bacterial small subunit ribosomal RNA", at positions 524 to 776 of the family's 1533-position model. The record is from RNAcentral.